This 469-nucleotide ribosomal RNA is filed under the name uncultured bacterium. RNAcentral describes it as "bacterial SSU rRNA". It matches the Rfam family "Bacterial small subunit ribosomal RNA", at positions 28 to 507 of the family's 1533-position model. The record is from RNAcentral.
GAUGAACGCUAGCGGCAGGCCUAAUACAUGCAAGUCGAACGGUGUCUCCGGACAUAGUGGCGCACGGGUGCGUAACACGUAUGCAACCUACCUUACAUUGGGGGAUAGCCUUUCGAAAGGGAGAUUAAUACCGCAUAAGACAGUAGCUGGGCAUCCAGCAGCUGUUAAAGAUUUAUCGAUGUAAGCUGGGCAUGCGUCCAAUUAGCUAGUUGGUGAGGUAACGGCUCACCAAGGCAAUGAUUGGUAGGGGAACUGAGAGGUCAAUCCCCCACACUGGCACUGAGAUACGGGCCAGACUCCUACGGGAGGCAGCAGUAGGGAAUAUUGGGCAAUGGACGCAAGUCUGACCCAGCCAUGCCGCGUGCAGGAUGAAGGCGUUAUGCGUUGUAAACUGCUUUUAUACAGGAAGAAACGACUCUUGCGAGAGGCAUUGACGGUACUGUAUGAAUAAGCACCGGCUAACUCCGUG